Molecule: ribosomal RNA, 292 nt
Filed under: uncultured bacterium
Lineage: Bacteria
Description: partial 16S ribosomal RNA
Source: RNAcentral
GGACUACUGGGGUAUCUAAUCCGGUUCGCUCCCCACGCUUUCGCGCCUCAGCGUCAGGCACAGCCCAGUCGGCCGCCUUCGCCACUGGUGUUCCUCCCGAUCUCUACGCAUUUCACCACUCCACCGGGAAUUCCACCGACCUCUGCUGCCCUCAAGCCUGCCAGUCUCCCCGGCACUGUCCCGGUUGAGCCGGAACCUUUCACCCAGAACUUAACAGGCCGCCUACGCGCGCUUUACGCCCAGUAAAUCCGGACAACGCUCGCCACCUACGUAUUACCGCGGCUGCUGGCAC